UACAGAGGUCUCAAGCGUUGUUCGGAUUCAUUGGGCGUAAAGGGUGCGUAGGCGGCGCGGUAAGUCGGGUGUGAAAUCUCGGGGCUUAACUCCGAAACUGCAUUCGAUACUGCCGUGCUUGAGGACUGGAGAGGAGACUGGAAUUUACGGUGUAGCGGUGAAAUGCGUAGAUAUCUGGAGGAACACCGGUGGCGAAGGCGGCAUCCUGGACCGGCAUUGACGCUGAGGCGCGAAAGCUAGGGGAGCAAACGGG
RNAcentral lists this ribosomal RNA (253 nucleotides) under uncultured bacterium. RNAcentral describes it as "partial 16S ribosomal RNA". It matches the Rfam family "Bacterial small subunit ribosomal RNA", at positions 524 to 776 of the family's 1533-position model. The record is from RNAcentral.